AUUGAACGCUGGCGGCAGGCCUAACACAUGCAAGUCGAGCGGAGCGGCGGACGGGUGAGUAAUGCCUAGGAAUCUGCCUGGUAGUGGGGGAUAACGACCGGAAACGGGCGCUAAUACCGCAUACUAGCAGAUGAGCCUAGGGCGGAUUAGCUAGUUGGGGGGGUAAAGGCCUACCAAGGCGACGAUCCGUAACUGGUCGGAGAGGAUGAUCAGUCACACUGGACAUGAGACACGUUCCAGACUCCUACGUGAGCCAGCAGUGGGGAAUAUUGGACAAUGGGCGAAAGCCUGAUCCAGCCAUCCCGCGUGUGCGAUGAAGGCCUUCGGGUUGUAAAGCACUUUUGGCAGGAAAGCGGUACCUGCAGAAUAAGCACCGGCUAACUACGUGCCAGCAGCCGCGGUAAUAC
Molecule: ribosomal RNA, 407 nt
Filed under: uncultured bacterium
Lineage: Bacteria
Description: partial 16S ribosomal RNA
Rfam family: Bacterial small subunit ribosomal RNA
Source: RNAcentral